This 493-nucleotide ribosomal RNA is filed under the name Pseudoalteromonas sp. RNAcentral describes it as "bacterial SSU rRNA". It matches the Rfam family "Bacterial small subunit ribosomal RNA", at positions 8 to 498 of the family's 1533-position model. The record is from RNAcentral. Lineage: Bacteria; Pseudomonadati; Pseudomonadota; Gammaproteobacteria; Alteromonadales; Pseudoalteromonadaceae.
AGAGUUUGAUCCUGGCUCAGAUUGAACGCGGGCGGCAGGCCUCACACGUGCAAGUAGAGCGGUAACAUUUUUAGCUUGUUAGAAGAUGACGAGCGGCGGACGGGUGAGUAAUGCUUGGGAACAUGCCUUGAGGUGGGGGACAACAGUUGGAAACGACUGCUAAUACCGCAUAAUGUCUACGGACCAAAGGGGGCUUCGGCUCUCGCCUUUAGAUUGGCCCAAGUGGGAUUAGCUAGUUGGUGAGGUAAUGGCUCACCAAGGCGACGAUCCCUAGCUGGUUUGAGAGGAUGAUCAGCCACACUGGGACUGAGACACGGCCCAGACUCCUACGGGAGGCAGCAGUGGGGAAUAUUGCACAAUGGGCGCAAGCCUGAUGCAGCCAUGCCGCGUGUGUGAAGAAGGCCUUCGGGUUGUAAAGCACUUUCAGUCAGGAGGAAAGGUUAGUAGUUAAUACCUGCUAGCUGUGACGUUACUGACAGAAGAGACCCCCGUC